CUUUUCUGAUUUUUUCAAUUCACAGUUUACAGUGAAAACAGCAUCAUGGAACUUUCAAAGAUAAGUCACAAAAGGAGAUGCCACUUCCUCCUACCUCUCUCUUCAGAUAGUUGCUUUUGGAAUCUAGUCACUGUGGUAUGAAAAAGCUAAGAACGCACAUUGGGGAGGUCAAGCAUGGCCACAGCUGUCAUUCCAGCCAACAGCCAGCAGCACCCACCAGACAGCUGUUGAUGAUCAGUGAACUCUUUCUUUUGUGCAUGGAGGGUGCAGAGAAGUGAACUUGGUGCUGCAGGAAAACAUGAUUAAAAUGCAAAUUUGUUACCUGGGAAAAUCAUGAACCACCAGUCCUCAGUAACAGAAAGCAAGACUUUGAGUGAAUGAGACCAGACUGAGGAAGAGGAAAAAGCUGCAAGGGAAGGUGGGAGAGAAAGUUGAGGCUUGCUGGAAGGCCCAAGGGCUCUGCAGGCACCAAGAACAUCCAUACUGCUGAGGGCUUGUUAGAAGGCAGAAUCCCCAGCUCCACCCCAGAGCUGCUGUGUCGAGAUCUCCAUUUCAGCAAGAUCUUCAGGGAAUUCCAAGAUCUUCAGGGAAUCCUGCACAAGUAACAGCUGAGUAGUACUGCUCUAUGGCAGGACAUAGUAGCUCCAAAGAUUAAAUCCUGGUAAAAGUGUGGCUUGGAGCCCUGACAGCUGGGAGCUGUCUGAGCUGAAGAUGGUGCCAGUGUAAGUGCAGAGGACACCCAGAGUCUCUGCCUGGGAAUUUCUUUCACCUUUAACCAUCUACCACUCACCAUGCCACACAGGAGUCC
RNAcentral lists this long non-coding RNA (808 nucleotides) under Heterocephalus glaber (naked mole-rat). RNAcentral's name for it is "lncRNA (ENSHGLG00100045048.1)". Lineage: Eukaryota; Metazoa; Chordata; Mammalia; Rodentia; Bathyergidae. The record is from RNAcentral.